This 406-nucleotide ribosomal RNA is filed under the name uncultured bacterium. RNAcentral's name for it is "partial 16S ribosomal RNA". It matches the Rfam family "Bacterial small subunit ribosomal RNA", at positions 29 to 526 of the family's 1533-position model. The record is from RNAcentral.
AUUGAACGCUGGCGGCAGGCCUAACACAUGCAAGUCGAACGCGUGGCGGACGGGUGAGGAAUGUCUGGGAAACUGCACGAUGGAGGGGGAUAACCCCGGGAAACGGUAGAGAAUAGCGCAUACCAACGGAUGUGCCCAGAUGGGACUUGCUAGUAGGUGGGGUAACGGCUCCCCUAGGCGACGAUCCCUAGCUGGUCUGAGAGGAUGACCAGCCACACUGGAACUGGGACCCGGUCCAGACGCCUACGGGAGGCAGCAGUGGUGAGUAUUGCACACUGGGCGCAAGCCUGAUGCAGCCGUGCCGCGUGUAUGAAGAAGGCCUUCGGGUUGUAAAGUACUUUCAGCGAGGAGGCGUUACUCGCAGAAGAAGCACCGGCUAACUCCGUGCCAGCAGCCGCGGUAAUUC